UGGAGUGAACUUGAACCUGAGCCAUUGAUUGGUCUCUCUGUAGACAGCUUUUAAAUCCCCUUUUGGCAUUAAACUGGGGGUUCUGGAUCUUUUCCCUCUGAGGCCUGUAGCCCCGCUAGCCUAACUCUCACGUAGCUGUAGAUGACCUUAAGCUUCCUGUCUCAACCUUCUAAGGUCUGGGAUUUCAGGUAGGUGCCACUAUGCCUGUUUUUUUGUUUUUAUGGUUUUGGGGUUUUGGUUUUGUUAUGUUUUGUUUUUCAAGACAGGGUUUCUCUGUGUAGCCCUGGGUGUCCUGGAACUCACUCUGUAGACAAGGCUGGCCUCGAACUCAGAGAUCUGCCUGCCUCUGCCUGGUUUAUACAGUGCUGGAGACUGAACCCAGGGUUUCUCACAUCCUAGGCAAGCACUCCCCCGGGUGGCAUCCCAAGCCCUGGUCCUAUUUCUGGACCCCGUGUCUCCUCUCCUAACUUAACUGUGGUUUUGUCACACAUUUAAUAACUUCUGAGGUGAGUUUGGAAGUUGAAUUUUUAAAGCCUUCAGUAUCUGGAAAUGUUUAUCUCUCAUACACUUAAGGGAUUCUUCAAAAUUGUGUUUCCUUCAGAAUGUCAGAAUUGUUCUACUGCCUUAAGGUCCUGAUUUUCAGAAUUCCCUUGGGGCUCUCUGCCUCAUGAUAGUUCUCAGUGGCCUGUUUCUGUUUUACAGAUGGGUUUGGGAGCCUUACCUGUAUCCCUACUCCUUGCACUAGCACAUAUGAAGCACAUACAUACAUACAUACAUACAUACAUACAAUUAAAGGACUGGACAAGAUCUCACUAUGUAAACAUGGCUGGCCUCAGACUCACUGGGUGGGAUUUAAAGGCUUAUACUGUCACACCUAAGAGGGGUAAAAACUUUAAGAUACCUGGGGCAACCUAGAAAAAGGUUUGUGUAGGCUCAUGGUUCUGAAGGUGCAGUCCAUCGUCAUCGGUCUCUAUGCUUUUAGCUUCUGUCAUGGUAACCUAUCCUGGCAGGUAUGCUUGACAGAGCACAGUCACACAUACCAUCAGCCAGGAGACAGAAUGAACCAGGCUCCCACAGUCCCCUUCCAGAGCAUAUGCUAGAGACCCAAAGACUCCACCUUCUAGUCAUUUCCACCCUUCGGACCAGUCCUUUAACACCUGAUCAUUCAGAGGUCUUAAACAGUGAAACAAUCUUGCCCAUCCUCCUUAUAAGUUGCCACAAUAAACAGAUUAGACACAAAACACAAAGGCCCUUAGGUUACAUAUUUUAUUAAAACAUCCUCUCAGAACGUAGAUAAAUGAGCUGAAGGGGCUUUAGGGUCCACCCAGAGUUGUUGAUGAAGCCCUGUAGCAUCUCCAGCUUCGUGUCCAAAAGUCAUAAAUUAGUACAAGUCACAGGUUCCUGGUUACCCUACAGUGGUCAUUUUGAAGCUUUUACAGCUUUUUGUUUGCUUCCCUUCCAAAUCCCAUUGACUCAUAGCUUUGCUGGUGUCUAGGACAAUGCCUUCCUGUCUGCUGGCUCUCCAUUCAGAGAGAUCACCGUGUCCAGGAACAGGAGUGAAAGGACUUGCUACACAAGAUUCCCAUUUGAAUGCUAGGGACAGAGCUGGGUUCCAAGGGUGCUGGUGUGUCUGCCGCAUUUCCCUGGCUCCACCUUAGUCUUUCAAAGGCAGGCAGAGGAACUUACUUUCCAGGUGGGAUAGGGUUAGAAAAAGAUGGUGACUGAAGCCUUGGUGUGGGACAUUUGCAAGGUCUCUCCCACACCUGGUCACAUCUACACUGCGCAGGACAGCUGUGUCUCCUUUUGCAUGGCAGGUGGGCGCUGGCCAGUUGGAGCAAAAGUAUUAUGGCCCAGACAAUGUCCUUGGUGCUCAGGUCCUGCCAUCCCCUCACCCUGGACACUUAGGGGACCAUUCUCAUGAUGCAGCCGCCACUCAAGUGGCAAUCACAGAGAGGACUGGACUUGGCUUUGUGGUCUGUGGGUCCAGAGUGACACCUCUUCCCCGCUUCAGGAUGGAGCGGCAUCCAUCCAGGCUGCCUGCUUCCUAGGCUUCUGUUUCUGAAGGACAGGAGUGACAGCUGUGUCUGAGGAUUUGUUUCUUAAAGUGAAGUGGCCAGAACAGCAGCAGCACAGUACCUAGGAGCCUGUUAAGAAACACAAAAUCUUGGCCCCUGCCCUAGGCUACCCAAACAAGAGCUUGCAUUUUAACCAGGUGAGUGGGUAAAUUUUCUACAGUACGUUAGAGAAGUAGGGAUCAAUAUAAGAACAGACAAGUGCUUGUGGGAACGAUUAAGCUCCAAUUUGAAAGUAAAUAUUUUUGCUCUUUCCUCCCCUGGUCCCUGUUUUGUGGCACUAGGGCUUUAUGGGGUAGGCAAGCAAACUCUAGCAGGAAGUUAUUAAUACAUCCUUAGAACCCAGCCCCUCCCUACAUCCUGCCUCCCAGAAACGGACUUUGUAGCCCAGGCUGACCUCAAACCUGUGGCAGUCUAAUUGCCUCUAUCACUCAACUGCUGGGGUUGUAACUGUGUGUGCCACCAUGCCCAGCAAAUGCUAGGUUUUUAAUAGACAGUAUUUCAAAUCUACAGAGAAUCUAGCAUAAUUCUGGACAAAGCUCAGGGGCUUAAUACAUAUUAUGGAUGAGUGUCUACAUGUAACUGAGAAUAUUUAGCAUUCACUGUGUGUCAGGUACUGUGCGGAGGUCCUUGCAUGCAUUCAUUAAAUGCUCAAAUGGAUUUAUAGUGUAGGAGCAAUGGUAGGAAGAAAAGGGUUAAUAGACCCAAGACCCCAAGCAGUCAGGUGUCAGGUAAGCACAUCUCAUUGCUGUUUGUGGCCAUGGGUGGAAUGGGUAUCAGGGGAAACCCUGACCCCCCAGAGCCCUUGUUGAUUACCUGAAUCUGUCUCCAGAUGCUGCAUCAAGUUUUCUGAAGAAAGGAGAAACAAAGAUCUGUGAGACUUAAUAUCUCCUACAGAUACUCCCAAGGGGAGGGUGUCCUGGCUAGAGCGUGAGGACAGGGAUACACGAGAAGUGUGCCUCACCUGCCUGGACCUCCAGGGCCUCUAUCCUUGGACAGGGGAGACCACAAUCUGGGGAACUGCUCCCUGAGUAGAGUGAGGUCUUGUGGGAAGGUAUGAGGAGAGAAGAUGCUUAACCCAAGCCACUGUUUGCUUAUUUUUGUUUGGGUUUCACUAUGUAGUCCAAGCUAGCCUCCUGCCUCAGUCUCCCUAGUGUUGGCAUUACAGACAUGUCCUACUAUGCUUGAUGGUUAUGGACCAGGUAUUGAAAUUGAGGAAAGAUGGAGACAGGUGGAAGGUAGAACACCUAAUGGGAUCCUGAACCCCUUUACCUGAAAAUGUCCUCAUCAUCUUUGGGAGGCUAAGUAUUUUCCUGUGGAGGUUUCGGAUCUUCUUGACAAGAUCAGAGGAAAUGGCCUCUGGGCUCACAAAAGUCUUCAGCUCGUACCUGCAGACAAGUUGGAAGUCAAAUUCCAAAAAUAAAAUACUUCAUUUUAUCUAUGU
This 3516-nucleotide long non-coding RNA is filed under the name Mus musculus (house mouse). RNAcentral's name for it is "long non-coding RNA chr17:36859438-36862954". The record is from RNAcentral. Lineage: Eukaryota; Metazoa; Chordata; Mammalia; Rodentia; Muridae.